ACUGUGGCUCUCUGCUUAGUCAUUUUGAGGACUGUUUGUUUCUUCAUGACAUGAGACACAUCUUCCCAUACUGGAAGAAGUGCAAGCAAUUAUUUAGCCUGCUAAACUUACCUCAUUGCCCAGAAACACUGCCAGACAAGGCUUGUAGUUUUGUGCCUAUCUGCUUAACAUGGAUUAAAUAGCAUGCACUUGAGGAGGAAAUCUAAGCUUCUUGUGUAACUUAAGGAUGAUGUGCUGCCAUUUUAGGAUCUGCUUUUUAUGAGAUGAGAACACUGGCAUAACUGAUUUUUAUUCAGGGUGGGAGUUUUGAUCUCUGCAUUUGUCUCCUCAACUGCAUCUACAAGUGCAAACUUAAGACUGAUCAUUAUUCUUCCACAUUGUUCUUUUUGUUACAAGGACAACCACAGCACAGUCCUCUGUAGCCAGUGUGUGCAUAACACAAGCUGAGGAAUUGGUCUCUCUGGUUGUUUGUCCUUGAGUUUUUCUUUCUGGGUGGGGAGGGGAUAGAUAGUUCCUUUCAGGUAUGUUGGAAAAAGAGGCUGCUGACAGGAUACACACCUCAGACAUUCAUUGUAGCCCCUGUGCUAUAUAGUGUUGGCAAGACAUAUUUUUGCACUAAAAAGGAAAACAAAUACACAUUGUACUUUAAAGGGACUUCAUUUUCCUACAUGAGAAAGAUGACAUUGCUAAGAAGAGCCAUGCUAGAUCACAUUGAAGUCUCACACUCAGUUCUGACAAUAGCCUCUGGGAAUCUUAAAAAUAGAACUAGUGAAACAACCUCCUCCCAUUGCCACCAUUGUUCUAGCAUGCUUUACUUCAAUUCAGGCAUCCAUAUACAGUACGUACAGCCAUAGAGAGAUGAAACCCACUGAUACAUUUCAUGACUAUUGAUGAACUAAGAAGUGACAUUUUAAGGGAGGCAAAGAUAGCCAUUAUUAGCCUGUUGCAGCAAAACCAAUGAAGAAUUUUGUGGCACUCUACUUUUAUUAGGCCUAAGUGUUAUUCAGUCUACUCCAGCGCUUGGGGUUCACACAUAUUUACACACAAAAACUUCUGUUAGCCUUUAAAGUCCCAAAAGUAUUUUCGUUAUUUCACAGAAGAGUCACACCUUCUCGUUUUUCAAGUUUGUUCAGACAGGGCCCUGGGUUCAUUUGCCAGUUUAGUUUCAUGCU
RNAcentral lists this long non-coding RNA (1172 nucleotides) under Pogona vitticeps (central bearded dragon). RNAcentral describes it as "lncRNA (ENSPVIG00000004841.1)". The record is from RNAcentral. Lineage: Eukaryota; Metazoa; Chordata; Lepidosauria; Squamata; Agamidae.